GACGAACGCUGGCGGCGUGCCUAAUACAUGCAAGUUGAGCGCUGAAGGUUGGUACUUGUACCGACUGGAUGAGCAGCGAACGGGUGAGUAACGCGUGGGGAAUCUGCCUUUGAGCGGGGGACAACAUUUGGAAACGAAUGCUAAUACCGCAUAAAAACUUUAAACACAAGUUUUAAGUUUGAAAGAGGCAAUUGCAUCACUCAAAGAUGAUCCCGCGUUGUAUUAGCUAGUUGGUGAGGUAAAGGCUCACCAAGGCGAUGAUACAUAGCCGACCUGAGAGGGGGGUCGGCCACAUUGGGACUGAGACAAGGCCCAAACUCCUACGGGAGGCAGCAGUAGGGAAUCUUCGGCAAUGGACGAAAGUCUGACCGAGCAACGCCGCGUGAGUGAAGAAGGUUUUCGGAUCGUAAAACUCUGUUGGUAGAGAAGAACGUUGGUGAGAGUGGAAAGCUCAUCAAGUGACGGUAACUACCCAGAAAGGGACGGCUAACUACGUG
Molecule: ribosomal RNA, 497 nt
Filed under: uncultured bacterium
Lineage: Bacteria
Description: partial 16S ribosomal RNA
Rfam family: Bacterial small subunit ribosomal RNA
Source: RNAcentral